CCGAUUUGAGCUUUCUGCUUUGUCCAUUUGUAGUUUGGGGUUGCUGAAACUUAAAGUUAUUAGGUUGGAAAUUUCCAUAUUUAGUAGAAAAGUGGUGGUUGGUUUUUGGAGAGUUAACAGAUGUGACCUCGAUGGUCAUAUCAUAGUCGUAGAGUCCCUUAGUAACUCUCAUUUCUGAGUAAUUAAGACCAACAUUUAAGAGAUCAAGUUGGCUAGUUUCAGUCAGGGAUUUAUUGGACAUUACCUUAAGGGUCUUGUCUGCUACAGUUGUAUACUGCAAAUUCCUUUCUUCAGGAAUGUUUCUGCUUAAAGCAUGAACCUUAUUGUUGCUAGAGUGGGACAAAACGUAAUCUCUAGGUGGGUUCCCUUGAGCAAAAGUCUUGGUACUAUGUGCCUUGGAUAGGUGGGUUUUUCUGCUCCUAAGGAGUGAUCCCUUUUCCUUUAAUAGGUUGGAGGGUGGGACCUUCUAACCCGAGGUGCUAUCGACGGGUUUUACUGAUGCUCCGUUUGGCACAGGAGGUGGAAUUCCCUAUCUUCGAUUGACACAGGGUGGGGUUUUAGAGGGGUGUAGAUUCUUACCAGGUAGUGUUUCAGGAUUGUUUACUUGGGAUGGAUUGAUGCUUCUUCCUAAUUUUUCUUUUAGGGAAACUUACCAGUUUCCACAUAGUGUCUACCAUGUCCACUACAAUGGGCGAUCUGGAGGAUGAGUUAGAACCUGAGGGGGUUGGGGAUUUGUUGCAUAGGAGCAGCUUCUAAGUGUGUGCCCCACUCCGCCACACCCCUUGCAAAGUAUUACCGCACCUUUGUAUUCCACUACUUGUAUAUGAUUUCCGAUGGUUACAGAUUUCUUCACUGGAAUGUUUAAGGGUAUUUGUACGCAGAUGCGUGCGUACGUACCUUCCUCUUAGAGUGGAUGAAGUACACGAGUCAAUCUUUAGCAAAAAACCCAAUUUUCUUCCAAUCCUUUCUAGGAUUUGCUGGUCAUAGAACUCCAUGGGAGUUAGGGUAGUCGGACCCAAAUUGCAGUGUGGUUCAUCGUUGAAUUACUUGGUAUGAAGUUCAACUCCCAUCGAGUAACUGGUAGAAAGCCUCCAACUAUGAACCACGGCCCGCCAUGCAAGGCUUUAAACAUAUUUUCUUCUUUGUUGAAUUUUACGGUGAAGAAAUCAUGUCCCAAAUCAAUAAGCACUAGGGGCUCUGACGGUUUCCAUAACUCUGUAAUUUUGGCUCUGAGUAGUUGGUGUGAGAUCUUCCUACCCAUUAGUUUCACAAUGACUGUGAACCUCCAUGGAGAUAGAUCCGUUCUUUUUCCAGAUCUAAGAGGGGUAUAGGGUUUUUAUCUGGUUUAGCGCCGUCGGAGUGGAAAAGGUGGUCGAAAUUGUAGGAUUUAUUGAGAUUUGAUAAUUUGUCUGUUAGGAUUUCUUUAAAGGAUUGUUUAGGAAGUUUUUUGUCUUCCAUGGAUGUAUCGUCGUUAGGCGGUGGGUCUGGUGGACGUGCCGGGAUGGGUCCGGUGAGUAGUUGGU
This 1523-nucleotide long non-coding RNA is filed under the name Capsicum annuum. RNAcentral describes it as "long non-coding RNA (CANN_LNC018515)". Lineage: Eukaryota; Viridiplantae; Streptophyta; Magnoliopsida; Solanales; Solanaceae. The record is from RNAcentral.